Molecule: non-coding RNA, 85 nt
Organism: Chytridium lagenaria
Lineage: Eukaryota; Fungi; Chytridiomycota; Chytridiomycetes; Chytridiales; Chytridiaceae
Source: the annotation of a GenBank genome assembly
UCCCAGUUAGUAUAGUGGCUAGUAUCCGACCCUGUCAAUUCAAAACAGCACGGUUGAGACCCGGGUUCAAUUCCCGGACUGGGAG